Molecule: ribosomal RNA, 465 nt
Filed under: Vreelandella stevensii
Lineage: Bacteria; Pseudomonadati; Pseudomonadota; Gammaproteobacteria; Oceanospirillales; Halomonadaceae
Description: partial 16S ribosomal RNA
Rfam family: Bacterial small subunit ribosomal RNA
Source: RNAcentral
CCUACGGGUGGCUGCAGUGGGGAAUAUUGGACAAUGGGGGCAACCCUGAUCCAGCCAUGCCGCGUGUGUGAAGAAGGCCCUCGGGUUGUAAAGCACUUUCAGUGAGGAAGAACGCCUGGUGGUUAAUACCCAUCAGGAAAGACAUCACUCACAGAAGAAGCACCGGCUAACUCCGUGCCAGCAGCCGCGGUAAUACGGAGGGUGCGAGCGUUAAUCGGAAUUACUGGGCGUAAAGCGCGCGUAGGUGGCUUGAUAAGCCGGUUGUGAAAGCCCCGGGCUCAACCUGGGAACGGCAUCCGGAACUGUCAAGCUAGAGUGCAGGAGAGGAAGGUAGAAUUCCCGGUGUAGCGGUGAAAUGCGUAGAGAUCGGGAGGAAUACCAGUGGCGAAGGCAGCCUUCUGGACUGACACUGACACUGAGGUGCGAAAGCGUGGGUAGCAAACAGGAUUAGAUACCCGAGUAGUC